This is a small RNA of Phycisphaerae bacterium, 45 nucleotides long. It matches the Rfam family "Acido-Lenti-1 RNA". NCBI's taxonomy places the organism in Bacteria, Pseudomonadati, Planctomycetota, Phycisphaerae. The record is from Rfam.
CACAGGGCGAUGCCCUAUGCUAAGAUAUUUCGCACCUUCAGUGCU